Molecule: ribosomal RNA, 468 nt
Filed under: uncultured bacterium
Lineage: Bacteria
Description: partial 16S ribosomal RNA
Rfam family: Bacterial small subunit ribosomal RNA
Source: RNAcentral
GACGAACGCUGGCGGCGUGCUUAACACAUGCAAGUCGAACGGAAAGGCCCUGCUUUUGUGGGGUGCUCGAGUGGCGAACGGGUGAGUAACACGUGAGUAACCUGCCCUUGACUUUGGGAUAACUUCAGGAAACUGGGGCUAAUACCGGAUAGGAGCUCCUGCUGCAUGGUGGGGGUUGGAAAGUUUCGGCGGUUGGGGAUGGACUCGCGGCUUAUCAGCUUGUUGGUGGGGUAGUGGCUUACCAAGGCUUUGACGGGUAGCCGGCCUGGGAGGGUGACCGGGCACAUUGGGACUGAGAUAGGGACCAGACUCCUACGGGAGGCAGCAGUGGGGAAUAUUGCACAAUGGGCGGAAGCCUGAUGCAGCAACGCCGCGUGCGGGAUGACGGCCUUCGGGUUGUAAACCGCUUUCGCCUGAGACGAAGCGUGAGUGACGGUAAUGAGUAAAGAAGCACCGGCUAACUACGUG